UACGGAGGAGGCCAGCGUUAUCCGGAAUUAUUGGGCGUAAAGCGUCCGUAGGUGGUUGACCAAGUCUGCUGUCAAAGGGUGGGGCUUAACCUCAUAAAGGCAGUGGAAACUGGUGAGCUAGAGUGCGGUAGGGGUAAGGGGAAUUCCAAGUGUAGCGGUGAAAUGCGUAGAGAUUGGGAAGAACAUCGGUGGCGAAAGCGCCUUGCUGGGCCUGCACUGACACUGAGGGAAGAAAGCUAGGGGAGCGAAAGGG
Molecule: ribosomal RNA, 253 nt
Filed under: uncultured bacterium
Lineage: Bacteria
Description: partial 16S ribosomal RNA
Rfam family: Bacterial small subunit ribosomal RNA
Source: RNAcentral